GUAAGAUAAGCUAAAUAAGCUAGUGGGUUCAUACCCCGAAAAUGAGAAAAUCUCUUUUACUA
This 62-nucleotide transfer RNA is filed under the name Gastrostomobdella extenta. RNAcentral describes it as "tRNA-Met". The record is from RNAcentral. Lineage: Eukaryota; Metazoa; Annelida; Clitellata; Hirudinida; Gastrostomobdellidae.